GAAUAUUGGACAAUGGGCGAAAGCCUGAUCCAGCCAUGCCGCGUGUGUGAAGAAGGUCUUCGGAUUGUAAAGCACUUUAAGUUGGGAGGAAGGGCGGUAAGCGACUACCUUGCUGUUUUGACGUUCCCGACAGAAUAAGCCCCGGCUAACUCUGUGCCAGCAGCCGCGGUAAUACAGAGGGGGCAAGCGUUAAUCGGAAGUACUGGGCGUAAAGCGCGCGUAGGUGGUUCGUUAAGUUGGAUGUGAAAUCCCCGGGCUCAACCUGGGAACUGCAUCCAAAACUGGCGAGCUAGAGUAGGGCAGAGGGUGGUGGAAUUUCCUGUGUAGCGGUGAAAUGCGUAGAUAUGCGGAGGAACACCGAUGGCGAAGGCAACCCCCUGGGCCUGUACUGACGCUCAUGCACGAAAGCGUGGGGAGCAAACAG
RNAcentral lists this ribosomal RNA (424 nucleotides) under uncultured bacterium. RNAcentral's name for it is "bacterial SSU rRNA". It matches the Rfam family "Bacterial small subunit ribosomal RNA", at positions 359 to 775 of the family's 1533-position model. The record is from RNAcentral.